Molecule: long non-coding RNA, 1794 nt
Organism: Sander lucioperca (pikeperch)
Lineage: Eukaryota; Metazoa; Chordata; Actinopteri; Perciformes; Percidae
Source: Ensembl
AUGAGACCAUUAAAGAAAAACAGAGGGCGUUCUCCCCCAUUAACUAGAGGCAGAGGGGGGCGAAGGAGAGGGGGCUCACAGCCUCUCCUGGAGAAAGAACCCAAAAGAGUCAAGAGGGAGACACUUGUCAAAACCACACAGUAUACACCCAACACUCCCACACACAAACAGACCCUGCCCACAUUCGCCAACUCUAAUGAAGACCCAAUCACAAACAGCAAUACCCCCACGAUGGAGGAGUCUACUGAGCUGAGGAAACCUGUGGAGUCAGUUGAGAAGGAGGGUAAGAAGGCAGAAGAAAAGACAGAAAAGGAGAAGAUAGUGGGCACAAAUGGAAAUAGUGCUGUGGCCACUGAAUCUGUAGCAUUUCCUACCUCUUCUCCAGUGCCACUCUCCACAGCCACGCCCCCUCUGGCCACCAAUCACAGCCCCAAUUUAGGCUCAGUCUCUAGUAGGAAAACAGCCACCUUUAAGGCUCGUGUACCCAAGAAAAAAUAUACAUAUGAGCACUUUGCUAACAACGCAAAUGCCCUGACUACCAUUCCUACCUCCAGACCUGCACACAUACACAACAAUUACUGCAAUAUUAACAGCAAAAUAAGUGAUAGUGUGAAUACGCCCAAUAAUAAUUUCAAGAGUAGUAACAAUAUUAAUAAUAGCAUUAAUGUUAGCAUCAAUAGCAGUACUAACAAUAACACUACAAAAGGUAUUAACAACAUGACUAACAGUAGUGCUGGGAGCCAUAAUACUUUUAUCAAUAGCAGUAAUAGUAGAAGUAAUAAUUGCUCAGGUAAUCAGUCAUCAGUCUUAACUGUGGAUAGUAGAGCUACAGAAGCAAAGUGUUUUGUUUCCACGGAGGAUAAAGCCCUCAGGACAGCAGAUUCCCAAGCUGGGGAAAAUGAGUCAGAGGGGGCCCCUUACUCAGUGCGCUCCUCAUCCACUGAUACAGCUAGUGAGCACUCCGCUGACCUAGACAUGAUGGAAGCAGCAGGACAAAGCCUUCAUCAAAAGAACUCCAACUACCCAGCUCCUCUCCAUAACUUGCACCAUAAAGAGGCCAGUCUUUCAGAGGGACUAGCCGAAGUUCUGGCUAAAGGCAUGAAAAACCAGAGAGUUCUUGCUCGCCAGAUAAAGAGGACUAUGGAGAGUGGGGUUAGGGCUACAGGGAACAGAGGGGUUAAGGAGAUUAACUCAUGCCCUUUAUUAUCUGUGUUCAGACCAGGGGUGGUGCGUAGGGUGAGUGGAGGUAUUGUUGAAGUCCAGCUCCAAGGAGAGGAGACUCUUGUUAAAUACCCUUUCCAUGGUGGAACCAUGAUGACAUCGUCAUCAGGGGCUGAGAGCACUGUGGAGUUUAUUUUGGAUGCCCCCCCACCUGGCAUGGCACCGGUGGCAGUCAGGACUCGAGUGUGCGUGCCCUUUGGUGGAGAGGAGGGGGGUCCUCUGCUGUACAGAGAGGGGAUUAUCACUCAGGUGGACCCCCACCCCGGUGUGUCAUUUCCUUACCAGGUGCUUCUAAAUGAAGACAGAGAGACUCUGGACAAUGGAGGGGUGGGGGAAGAGAAAGAGAAAAGGAAAGCUAAUGCUCGGACUGUGUGGGUGUCCCGACAAAGUCUGAGGCUUCUCACCCCUCCUUGGGAGGUCCCACAUUUGGAUGGUGGGAGGGCAAAGGAAAGAGAGCGGGAGAGGGAAAGAGAAGAGAGGGAGCGGAGGGAGGAGAUGGAGGUAGAGAGGGAAGUGUGCCAGUUGAGUAUUGGGAUGGGGGGUGCUGGGAGGGGGAGCAAGGUUAGGCCAUAG